AAUGAACGCUGGCGGCAGGCCUAACACAUGCAAGUCGAACGGAUCCUUCGGGAUUAGUGGCGGACGGGUGAGUAACGCGUGGGAACAUACCCUUUGGUACGGAAUAGCCUCGGGAAACUGGGAGUAAUACCGUAUGUGGUCGAGAGACGAAAGAUUUAUCGCCAAAGGAUUGGCCCGCGUUGGAUUAGGUAGUUGGUGGGGUAAUGGCCUACCAAGCCGACGCUCCAUAGCUGGUUUGAGAGGAUGGUCAGCCACACUGGGGCUGAGACACGGCCCAGACUCCUACGGGAUUCAGCAGUGGGCAAUCUUAGACAAUGGGGGAAACCCUGGUCUAGCCAUGCAGCGUGAUCGAUGAAGGCCUUAGGGUUGUAAAGAUCUUUCAGGUGGGAAGAUAAUUACUUUACCACCAGAAGAAGCCCCGGCUAACUCCGUGCCAGCCGCCGCCGUAA
Molecule: ribosomal RNA, 449 nt
Filed under: uncultured bacterium
Lineage: Bacteria
Description: partial 16S ribosomal RNA
Rfam family: Bacterial small subunit ribosomal RNA
Source: RNAcentral